Molecule: long non-coding RNA, 938 nt
Organism: Callorhinchus milii (elephant shark)
Lineage: Eukaryota; Metazoa; Chordata; Chondrichthyes; Chimaeriformes; Callorhinchidae
Exons: 2
Source: RefSeq, a predicted model, not a curated record
AACUAGCCAGUCAGCCAGCCAGCCAGCCAGCCAGCCAACUAGCCAGCCAGCCAGCCAGCCAGCCAUCAGCCAGCCAGCCGGGUGUCUGUGUCUGUGUCUGUGUCUGUGUCUGUCACGCACGGAAACCCGUCACCGUUGCUUAAGAGUCUCCAAACCCAACCGAGAAUUCCAGACCUCCCAACCCACCUCCACACGGAAACCCCAGAGAUAGAGAGAGACGGCUUCACCAGCAUCAAAUGGCCGACAAGGAAACCUGUUUAAACACCUUCCGGUUUAUUACACGCGGUUUGAUUGUCUGCACCGAUGAUUUUGUUCUCUUAAUUGAUGACGUGCGGACCCGACACCACACCUCAGGGAUAGUGACUGUCCUCUCACUGAGCUCUGGCUCUGCUCUUGUGUUUUUUUUUCUGGUUCAGUCUUAUUUUCGUUCUGAAUGUAUUCGUGUGCGCGCGUGUUUGUCGCGCGCGUGUACGCGUUGCGUGUACGCGUCUUGUGUGCACGUCUGCGUUUGUGCGCGCGUGCGUGUGUGUGUUUACACGCUUGUGUGGGGGCGCGUGCGUUAACGUCAUGGAUCCGUGGAAACUUAUCCGGGGUGUUCCUGCGGUCGCUUCGAAGCUGUCGGAUAUCUCGCGAAGAGAUUCAGUCGACAACUAAGCCGGUCACACUCCUUUUCUGAGCAGUUCAGUGCCUGCGCGGCGCGGGUGCGUGCGCGCGUGUACGCGCGCCCGCGUGCGUUAACCGGUCGUGCGGACGUCUACGGUCACGCGUAGCAUUGCGCGUAUAUCACUCAUUUUGAUUUAAUCUCACGGGGUUUGAUGUUUUGCUGCAAAUGCCUGGUUUAGCCCCAGAGAGGCAAGAGUUGUCAAUAUUUAUUCUUUACCCGAAGGUAACAGCUAAGUUUAUCUGUGCAUCGAAUGAUUAAAACGCCAUUAGACGAC